UUCUCAAAGAUCCUGCCUGCAAAUCGGAGCGAGAGGGGUGGUACACUGAGGGAUAGUCGGGAAAGGGGUGACGCCGUUGAGACAGUUGAUGCUGCCGAGGGCAGAGACAAAGAGCGAGAUUGGAGGAGGGAGGAAGGCAGCAGGCGCGCAAAUUACCCAAUCCCGACACGGGGAGGUAGUGACAAUAAAUACUGAUACAGGGCUCUUUUGAGUCUUGUAAUUGGAAUGAGUACAAUUUAAAUCCCUUAACGAGGAACAAUUGGAGGGCAAGUCUGGUGGGGAGAAGGGCUCGGAGUUGGAGUCCACGAAAGGGGGAAGUCAUGGGUUCAUCCGAGCGCGAGUCAGAAGACGGCCCGCAAAAGGAGGAUGAAAAAGUCACCGAGAAAGGAGGGAACGCAUUUCAGCGCCUCCUUGGCCUCCGCCGAACCUCCCUACCUACCUCCUCUACCCCAAAUCAACCCAGCACUCG
RNAcentral lists this non-coding RNA (469 nucleotides) under Pseudogymnoascus sp. VKM F-3775. Its description in RNAcentral is "Eukaryotic small subunit ribosomal RNA". The stretch from base 1 to 295 matches the Rfam family "Eukaryotic small subunit ribosomal RNA", at positions 34 to 595 of the family's 1831-position model. Lineage: Eukaryota; Fungi; Ascomycota; Leotiomycetes; Thelebolales; Thelebolaceae. The record is from Rfam by way of RNAcentral.